Molecule: long non-coding RNA, 9109 nt
Filed under: Populus tremula
Lineage: Eukaryota; Viridiplantae; Streptophyta; Magnoliopsida; Malpighiales; Salicaceae
Description: long non-coding RNA (PTRE_LNC002211)
Source: RNAcentral
AUGGAUCAUCUUUAAAUCCUUGAUUAUGUAUUUGAAUCAGAAAACAACAUAAAAACAGAGAGAUUUGGGGUUUGAAGUGAUUACCAGAAGACGAGGAGGGACUUUCAUGGAGCAAACAACACGCCCAGGUUCAAUGAGAUCAAUAUGAAGGCCUUGCAUUAUAAAUCUUUCAAAGAAUCUGAGAGGCAUUUUUUCAAUGGUUGAUUCAUUCUUGUCUUCUUCAUAUCCUCCUGUCUCUAAGUAUCUCUUCACUGAUUCCAAAUCCAUUUUUCUUUCUUCCCUUUCCGACUCGUCUCAGACAAAGGAAUGUUUGUUGAAAGAGUGAUGGGCAAAGACGCAAAGUAAUUCUAAAUUUUAAUUCUCUCAUAAAAAAAAGAGUUCGACUCUUUCUGUAAAACAAUCAAUUUUAAUACCUUUUAUUGUCAAUUAAACUGUUAGCACCAAUACUUAUCUUCCCAAUCCUACAUAAAUACUAAAGAAACAUAAUUAAUUGCUUCACUUUUUUCUAUUUGAUCAUGAAUUAAUUUUUUAUUUAUUUUUUCCUUAUAAAAGAAAGAGACGGAAUAUAUGGGGGAAUAAACGAAAUCUAUAGGGGUAUUAUCUUAUCUUUUAUUUAAACCUUGAACGAUCACAAUCAAGUUAUUAUAAUCACAAGUGAACUUAUAAAAUCUCAUAAAAUCUUAUAAUUUUAUAAGUUAAUAUAUAUUUAAUAUGCUAAAUCAGACUAAAAACUUGAAACUAGUAAAAUCAAACUCAACUCAUGCAAAAUCGAUAAAAUCGGUAAACUCAGUCCUAUUUUUUGAGUUUAUUAAAUUUAUGAUAUGAACCAAGUCAUGUCCAAAUUUGACUUUAAAAUGUCUGCUGACUAGUUUUACGAGAUUAAACAUAUCUUUUAAACUGUAUAUUGGAUAAAGCUGAAAUUUUAUAGAAAAAUAUUAGAUACAUGAAAAUAUAUUAUUAUAAAUUUUUAGGUCAAAUGGAGUUAGGAAAUAUAAUAUUUCAGAGAGUCAAAGUUAGUAAACUAACAUUGUGAAAUAUGUCAAACAAGACAUUUGUGUAAUGUUUGGGACAUAUCUACAGCUACCAUUGGAAUUUUGCAUCGAUUAAAGUUGGGAUAGAAACUAGACAUCUGAAACUUUUCAACUAUAUACCGUAGGGUCAAUAAUUCAUCUAAACAAGAGAAAAUGACAUGUUUAAAAUUAGAACUUAAAUCUGUCAAGAAUAUAUAAAGAUUAGAGAUUCAGGCAAAAUAGAGGAAUUUUAACAUGGAGAAUUUUUUUAUUAUUCUAUUUUAUUUAUUUAGUUAAUUUUAAAUAAUUAUUUUUAAUUUAAUUUUUUCUAGUACAUUAGAUAUUGUUUAGGGGUUUAUUUCAUUAUUGAAUUUAUGUUAAUUAAUUACUAAUUUAAACUCAUUAGCUUGCAACCUAAAAGGAGUCUAUAAAGACUUAUUAUGAUGGGAAUAACCAGGUUGUCACUAGAUUUAUGUGUACUUUCUAUCUCUCAAUGAUUCCCUGGUAUUGAGAAAUUUUGUCUUGAGACUUUUUAUUUCUCGAUGUCAUUACUUUAUUAAUUCAUACUAUAUAUCUCUUUCAUUUUAUUUAUAUCACUCAUUGAUUAUAAUAUUGUUGAUUAAUUUUAUCAAAUUUUAAUGUAAAUUAAUUUUCUGGCUAGAAUUAUCAAUAUAUGAUUAGUUAAAAACGCUUACUUAUGAUUUUAUGAUUUUACGAUUUGAGUUUACAAUUCGAGAUUAUAUUAUAUUUUUCGUCUCGUGUCAAAAAAAUAAUUUUAAUAACCUUGAUCAUAAUUCAAUAACAACAGCUUUAAAAUAUUGAUCUAGUGGUUAAAGUAGUUUGUUCCUUUUUAGGAUAUAAAUUAUUAUUUUUUAAUUAAAUUCUUUUAAAUGUAUCAUGCUAAUAUGAGAUAUAUGACGGGCAAGGUAAAAGGAAAAAACUUAUAUUCAUGAAUAAAGUUGAGUUUUCUAGGCCUAAACAUUUUUAAAAAAUCAUUCUAAUAUGAAUAUUCCUUUUUAACUUGGGUUUUUCCCUUUUUUUUUUUUUGUAUUUUUAGGAUUCCAAAAUUAUAUUGUUUGGCAUAAAUGUUUUUUUAAUUAAUGGAAAAUACCAAAUACAUGGUAAUGGAAAAGUAAAAAUUAUAUUAUUGAUGACCCAAUUAACAAUAAAUAAAUAGACUCAACUAGGUGAGUUUGUUCAUGGUGAUUUUUUUUAUUGUAAUUAAUUUUAUAUAAUGUAAGCAAAUUUCAAUUAAUUUGUUUUUAUUUCUUUCCUGUUAAUCAUAUACCUUUUCUUUUAUCAAGUUAGUAAUUUAUUUUUUCUUUUUAAAAUCUUUGUGUAGCCAUAUGUGCUUUUAACAUAGUUUGUUAACUAUUCUCGAGGCUCAAGGGAAAAGACACACUAAGUGGAAUAAAAUUCCGUUUUCUCUUUCAUAAAAACAACUCAGACUCAUUCCAGUCAUGAUCCCACUUCUCAAUAUCUGAAUCUGCCUUUUUUUUUUUUGCCGUAAAAUGAACCUGAACAAGUCUUUUCUCAGAUUUACAUGUUAAAUUGAGGCAGUUUGCGAAGAUAAUUUCUAUUAAAUUUUGGCACCCUUCCAGUAAGAUAAAUGAUAAAUGCCUCUAAAGCUGGAGGAAAUUCUGAGACUAGUAGCCGAUUUACGCAUUUGGUAACUUCCAAAGUCUUAAGCUUAGGAAGGCUGUCAAUUCCAGGAGGUAGAUUGAUAAAUCCAAUCUAUCGAGAGAUGACAAGCUGCCAAGAUGUAUGGAAACUGUAAGUUCAGACAAUAUGCAGCAACAAAGAUCUUAUCCGGCAUUCUAAGCAUCACUGUAAUGAUCGUCGCAACAUAUAAUUGCAAAUAUUUAUCAGUUACAUUAUUGGUUCCAGUGAAGAAAUACGAAGAAGCUAAGAAUUUGCAGGUCAUUUACAUUUUACUAGAGACAGCUAGGUACUUAGUAUGACGCCCUUGAGCAAUAAUUUUCCCAGUCUUUCUCUUCUUCAACUCGACACUGACAACUCCAACAGCUUUACCCACACGAAGAACCCUAGCUUCAAUCUCGAUUUCUUCCUGGAAGAACAGAAAUAGAAAACUUCAAAUGAAUAAUAAGUCACAAUUCGUUGUGCUCAAGUUAUUUUACAAGUACAGAGGCACAUCAUGACAUGCAUACACUAAUCCAUUGACUACACAGCUGCUAUGAUGAGUGAAAUUAACACCCAGAAUCAACGUUGAUACUGAGAUUUAUUUUACUCCCUCUUACCGUGCUAAGAAUUUAAGAUUUCCCUACUCAUUUUGUUCUCUUGCUUGUCCUACAUACCAGAACUUCUUGUUCAUCAACGAACAGUGCAAACCCAGUAUCUAUCCCAUCUAAUAAACAAAGCAUUGCUCAAAAGAGGGUAGCCCCAUUCCAACUUUAACUUGGUAUACUCUUUAGUGAGUCGAUCGCACAAAGGCUAAAAUAGAGAGAAGUUCAGCAGGGAAAAUUUUAUGGUGAUCGGGAAAUACCUAGUAGUAUCCUAUUAGUUACUCCUUAGACUCAUCUUGAAAAAAAAAAAAUAGAUACAAUGAGAUAAGAGAAGAUGAAACCUAUAAUCCACCAAAAAUUAUAAGAAUAUCUUCAUCUAGAAUUUCUUUCUUAAUUAUAUCUUAUUUUUUCUUUAAAAAGAUCAGGGAGUAACUUGUAUGAUGCUACUAUUUACUCUCUAUACUAGUUACUCCCUGAGCACUAUAAAAUUUCUCGUUCAACAAAGUCUACAAGUGAGACAACUAACCUGCAAAGCAUUUAUUAAAGGAAAGGACCAAUAAGAGAAAAGAAACUAAAUCUACAAAAUACAAAUAUUAUCCGCAUCUCAUCUACACAAAUUAAGUGUCCACUAUUUAGCUUGAUACAUGCCAUUUUGAUUCUUUGCAAGUGCGAGCAAUCCAGUAUUUUAUAGACUCCAGAACUAUAGCCAACCUAUUCUACUAAGGAGAUCUUAAGAGCCUGGCGAGUGAUUUUUAGGAUUUUCAGCUAGAAACAUACUAAACAAUUUGGGCUUACCAAUCUUGAUUUUUAGGAUUUUCACCAAUAAAGGAUUAUUUAAUGAUUAUCUUUAUCUAGAAAGGAAACUAAUAAGACAGCAACAAAGAACGAUAUUUUGUAUUUAUUAUCGUCCAAGUAUUACAAGGAAACCUAGCUCUACAAGAAAAAAGCAAGAGGCGACAGAAUUAAUUCUAUAUAUUGAGAUUAGAUUUUCAUAAUCUAUUUGAGACAUCUAGAGGCAGCAACCCUUCCUAGAGAUACAAGUAAGGUUUAUUUCGACUAUAACACCUUUUAAGCUAGGAAAAUCAGACCUUUUAUUUUUAUUUCUCUUUGGUUAUUUGCAGCAGCAUAGAGAAUUCUUUCUUUCUUGGUUCUCUAAACAACUGAAAUUGACUUACUGAAGAACAACUGUCUUCGUGAUGUCUUUCUUAUACUUCUCGUUAGCGAAUUAUUAUUUGUAGGGUGGGGAUUCUUAUUCCAAUAAUUCUAGUAUCUGGAGACAUGUUUUUAUUGUUUCACACUUCUAUCAAACAUGUUUCACCUUUUCAGGAUUUGUUUUCAAUCUUGUUGUGAGUUACAUGACCAUAUGAUCACGAGGUUCACAUCAUCAUUUCCAGCAAUUGAUAGUGAUAGUUGAGAACACAAACAAUAUGAGCAACCAUCUAUAGACUAAAUCCAGCUCCCUCUAUUUCUAGGAUUCAUAAGCUAGUUAAUAGAAAGAAGUCCCCACCAAAGGUAUGCUGAACACGGGAAACUUAUCUUCAUUGAAGCUACUAUUAGUAACAUUAAUUUGGUGAAACAGCUGAAUAAUCCAUGCCUUUAUUAUAGCACAGUACCAGAAUCUAUAUUGUAUACAGAUGAAACCUAACGCAUAAAUCUAUAACAUUUAAGACCAGCACUGUUAAUCAAACAAAAGUGAACCUUAUGGUCAAACAGAAAAGGCACCCAAUUAAAGCAGACAGAAACAGCACCUGAUUAAAGCACGAAUAGAUGGGACAUAAUUUGAUAUCUUUUUUCCAAGGCCAUACUUGGAAAACUAUUUCUGUAGGAGGGGAGGGGGAGAUUUACAAAAACAAACACUCCGCCGGCAGCUUGUUGGAUACUUCUAAGGCACCAAAGUUAGCUAAGUUUAGCAUAACACAUGAUUAAUGCACAAUAACUUGUGAUUAACAGUGCAACAAAAGGGUAAACGACCACAAACUCUUGAGAAAUAUAGAAUAAGGCUUGCUGGAUCUUAGUUCGAUAGGGUUGAGAUAUAAUUUACAGUCUUAUGGUCCAAAGCCCCAUCAAAUAGGCCUGGUAUUGAUACCAUUACCAAAAAAUAUAGACAGCUGUAGAUAUGUUGUUAAACCAUAAAAAAGAAAACACAUAACAAUAUAUUCGAAAAAUAUUUCCUUUUUCACUCUAUCGUAUAUUCAAGACAGUUUCAACCCUGAGACAAACAGGUUAGGAAUCAUUCUAUCACGGUAUUUAAAAAAACACACGCAAGGAACAAGAUAUAAGAGAGAGAAGGACUGCUACCCACAUCAGCAAAAGCAGCAUCCAAGUAUGAAACAUUGAUUUCUACAGAAACGCCACUUGCUGGAGCUCCAGCUGUGCACAUUGCAGCAGUUCCUACCAAGUCGACCAACGUGGCUGUAGCCCCACCGUGCAAGAAAUUGCCAACAUUCUUAGAAAUAAGCAAUCAAACAAAACACCAAAUAAUCAGUAACACCAUUUAAGACCUAAACUAUUAAAGCAUUCUUUAGCUUAGAUUUUGGAAGAAAAUUCCCUUACUUUUUUCUGAUAUUAGCUAAUCACUUCCAAAGAGAAUCCUAAUUGAAAACAACCAACAAAAGACUUGAACUUUCUCUUGUUUUCAUGACUAAUCUCAGCAGCCAAACUAAAAGGAGAGUAAUUCACCAAGCAUGGGCAUACAGUAUUCAUCUAUGAUGGUUAUCCCAAGAUCCCAAAUGGAUCAUCUUUAAAUCCUUGAUUAUGUAUUUGAAUCAGAAAACAACAUAAAAACAGAGAGAUUUGGGGUUUGAAGUGAUUACCAGAAGACGAGGAGGGACUUUCAUGGAGCAAACAACACGCCCAGGUUCAAUGAGAUCAAUAUGAAGGCCUUGCAUUAUAAAUCUUUCAAAGAAUCUGAGAGGCAUUUUUUCAAUGGUUGAUGCAUUCUUGUCUUCUUCAUAUCCUCCUGUCUCUACGUAUCUCUUCACUGAUUCCAAAUCCAUUUUUCUUUCUUCCCUUUGUCUCAGGCAAAGGUAUGUUUGUUGAAAGAGUGAUGGGCAAAGACGCAAAGGAAUACUGCCCUUCCCGUUGACCCAUAAUAACUGGAUUAUAAGACAUGUGAGGUGAGAUGCUGAGUUUAUUUUUUUAAAAUUAUGGGUUUGAAUUUUAUAAAUUUUUAAAUUAUUAUAAAUUUAUAUAGUUAAUAAUUUUAAAAUUAUUAAAAUUAAUAUAUAUAUAUAUAUAUAUAUAAAUUACCUGAAUAUUCACAUUAAUUAAAAACUAAAAUUCUAAAACAUGAGAAAUAGGGUUAGGAAUUGUAUCAUGAUUUUUCCCUAGUUUGAGAAAAUUACCAAGAACUUCAAUUUUAAUUCUCUCAUUAAAAAAAGUUCGACUGUUUCUGUAAAAAAAUCAAUUUUAAUACCUUUUAUUGUCAAUUAAACUGCUAGCACCAAUCAUUAUCUUCCCAAUCCCACAUAAAUACUAAAGAAACAUAAUUAAUUGCUUCACCUUUUUCUAUGUGAUCAUGAAUUAUUUUUUAUUUAUUUUUUUCUAUGAAAAGAAAGAGACGGAAUAUAUGGGGGAAUAAACGAAAUCUACAGGGUAUUAUCUUAUCUUUUAUUUAAACCUUGAAAGAUCACAACAUAUUAAAAUCUCGAAUUAACUUGAAAAAUAUUAUAAAAUUGUAAGUUAAUAUAUAUUUAAGGUGUUAAAUCAGAUUAAAAACUUGAAACUAGAAAAAUUAGAUUUAAUUCAUGCAAAAUCAAUAAAAUUGAUAAACUUGGUCUGAUUUGACGAGUUUACUAAAUUUGUGAUAUGAACCAAGUUAAGUCUUAAUUUGACCUUAAAAUAUCUACUAAUUAGUUUUACGAGAUUGAAUAUAUCUUUUAAACCGUAAAUUGGAUAAAGCUUAAAUUUAAUAGAAAAAUAUUAGAUAUAUAAAAAUAUAUUAUGGUAAAUUUUCAGAUUAAAUGGAGUUAGAGAAUAUAAUAUUUCAAAUGGUCAAAGUUAGUAAACUAACAUCCUUAAAUAUAUCAAACAAGACCUUUUUGCACUGUUUGGGACAUAUCUAGAUCUACCGUUGGAAUUUUGCUUCGAUUAAAGUAGGGAUAGAAACUAGACAUUUAAAACUUUUCAACUAUAUAUUAUAGGGCCAAUAAUUCAUCCAAACGAGAGAGAAUGAUAUGUUUGAAAUCAGGACUUAAAUCUGCCAAUAAUAUGUAAAAAAUAGAGAUUUAGGCUUAUGGAGGAAUUUUAACAUGAAUACUUUUUUUAUUAUUAUUCUAUUUUAUUUAUUUAUUUAUUUUUAAAUAAUUAUUUUUAAUUUGAUUUUUUCUUAGGACAUUAGACAUUGUUUAGGGGUUUAUUUUAUUAUUGAAUUUAUGUUAGUUAAUUACUAAUUUAAACUCAUUAACUUGCAACCCGAAAAGGGUCUAUCAAGACUUAUUGUGAUGGGAACAACCAGGUUGUCACUAGAUUUAUGUGUGCUUUAUACUUUUCAGUGAUUCUUCUAUAUUGAGAAAUUGUGUUUUGAGACUUUUUAUUUCUCAAUGUCAUUACUUUAUUAAUUCAUAUUAUAUAUCUCUCUCAUUUUAUUUAAAUCACUCAUUGAUUAUAAUAUUGAUGAUUUAUUUUAUCAGAUGUUAAUGUAAAUUAAUUUCCUAGCUAGAAUUAUCAAUAUAUAAUCAGUUAAAAAACUUACUUAUGAUUUUACAAUUCGAGUUUACGAUCCAAGUUUAUAUUAUAUUUUUCAUGUCGUGUCAAAAAAAUAUUUUUGAUAACCUUGAUCACAAUUCAAUAACAACAGCUUUAAGAGAUUGAUCUAGCAGUUAAAAUGUUUUGUUCCUUUUUAGGAUAUAUAUAUAUAUAUAUAUAUAUAUAUAUAUUUUUAAUUAAAUUAUUUUAAAUAUAUCAUGCUAAUAUGAGAUAUAUAACGUCCAAGGUAAAAAAAAAACCUUAUUUUUAUGAAUAAAGUUGAGUUUUCUAGGCCUAAACAUUUUUUAAAAAUCAUUCUAAUAUGAAUAUUCCUUUUAACUUCUUGGGUUUUUCCCCUUUUUUUUUUUUUUUUUUUUGUAUUUUUAGGAUUCCAAAAUUAGAUUGUUUGGCAUAAAUGUUUUUUAAUUAAUGGAAAAUACCAAAUACAUGGCAAUGGAAAAGUAAAAAUUAUAUUAUUGAUGACCCAAUUAACAAUAAAUAAAUAGACUCAACUAGGUGAGUUUGUUCAUGGUGAUUUUUUUUAUUGUAAUUAAUUUUAUAUAAUGUAAGCAAAUUUCAAUUAAUUUGUUUUUAUUUCUUUCCUGUUAAUCAUAUACCUUUUCUUUUAUCAAGUUAAUAAUUUAUUUUUUCUUUUUAAAAUCUUUGUGUAGCCAUAUGUGCUUUUAACAUAGUUUGUUAACUAUUCUUGAGGGUCUUAAAUAUUCUUUAGCUUCAAAUGCAAGGCUGAAAUUGAGACUGCAAAGUAGUAUGGGGGACCAAUUUGGAUAUAAAAGGUUCUUUUUUAAAACCGGCUUGAUUCCAGCCCUGGAACCGCCGAAAUUCAGGUCAACCCGUCGAAUCAGACCGGGUUUCAAAACUAUAAAAAAACAUAUCCUCUUUAUCUUAGUUAUCUCUGUUUGUUUUUUUUUAAUCAAAACAGUAACCAAAAUGCUACAAGAUAUGCUUUGGUGAUGUAUUUACAAGUUGGUGCCCAGAUUUCAGAGAAAUGAAGGGAUUUUUAACAAAAUAAAAUUCCCCGCAAUUACAUCUUUCUUUUCCCUCUUUAUAAUUAAGUAGUUUACUUUGCCAGCCUUAGGAGUGAAGGCCCUCUCAAAUCACCUUCAUGCUGCAGCAAGAACAUUCAAAUUGCUACAAAGGGAACCAUUUCUC